This is a small nuclear RNA of Trichechus manatus latirostris (Florida manatee), 107 nucleotides long. The record is from RefSeq and is a predicted model, not a curated record. NCBI's taxonomy places the organism in Eukaryota, Metazoa, Chordata, Mammalia, Sirenia, Trichechidae.
GUGCUUGCUUCAGCAGCGCGUAUACUAACACGGGAACAGCACAGAGAAGAUUAGCAUGGCCCCUGUGCAAGGAUGACACACAAAUCCGAGAAGCAUUCCAUAUUUUU